Long non-coding RNA from Xenia sp. Carnegie-2017, 454 nucleotides. RefSeq lists it as uncharacterized. Lineage: Eukaryota; Metazoa; Cnidaria; Anthozoa; Malacalcyonacea; Xeniidae. The record is from RefSeq and is a predicted model, not a curated record. The transcript has 2 exons.
AGUUCCACUCUUGAGUUAACUUGUCGCUAAUUUUUUAUGCGCAUGCUCCAAUUCCGCCAUCUUCCUGGCCAGUCAAUAGCUGGCAGCGGUAUAUAAAACUAUAUGGUAAGAUGCGAAGUGAAGACUGGAAAACGUCGAUUUUUUUCAAUUGAGGCUGUUCAAUCUGAUGCGUAAUUUAUAAAAUAGCAAAGGCAAGGAUAUUUUUCUGUGUUAUUUAAGAAGAAAACAUCCAGGAAUAUCUGCCAAUUUAAAGCUGCACUGUUUAAACGAUACCAUUAAGACCAAUAUAUUACUAUAAAUUCUAUAUAGUUAUAGUUUUAUUGAACAUGUAAUUAACAUUUUAUCAGUGGUUAGGUAGAUAAAUAUACGAUAUAUUAAUCUUGUAAAUGAUCAUAUACCAUUAUAAUGUAUCUGAGAAAUAGUGAAUUACAUAAGAGCAUACACACUGGCUGAA